Molecule: ribosomal RNA, 496 nt
Filed under: uncultured bacterium
Lineage: Bacteria
Description: partial 16S ribosomal RNA
Rfam family: Bacterial small subunit ribosomal RNA
Source: RNAcentral
AUGCACGCUGGCGGCGUGCCUAAUACAUGCAAGUCGAGCGAACAGACGAGGAGCUUGCUCCUCUGACGUUAGCGGCGGACGGGUGAGUAACACGUGGAUAACCUACCUAUAAGACUGGGAUAACUUCGGGAAACCGGAGCUAAUACCGGAUAAUAUAUUGAACCGCAUGGUUCAAUAGUGAAAGACGGUUUUGCUGUCACUUAUAGGUGGAUCCGCGCCGCAUUAGCUAGUUGGUAAGGUAACGGCUUACCAAGGCAACGAUGCGUAGCCGACCUGAGAGGGUGAUCGGCCACCCUGGAACUGAGACACGGUCCAGACUCCUACGGGAGGCAGCAGUAGGGAAUCUUCCGCAAUGGGCGAAAGCCUGACGGAGCAACGCCGCGUGAGUGAUGAAGGUCUUCGGAUCGUAAAACUCUGUUAUUAGGGAAGAACAAAUGUGUAAGUAACUAUGCACGUCUUGACGGUACCUAAUCAGAAAGCCACGGCUAACUACGUG